This is a non-coding RNA of Pelobates cultripes (western spadefoot toad), 3612 nucleotides long. Lineage: Eukaryota; Metazoa; Chordata; Amphibia; Anura; Pelobatidae. The record is from the annotation of a GenBank genome assembly.
CAGAACAAAGGAACAUUUAUUAUAAACAAACCCAGUCACAGUGCAAACAAAUACAAAAUAUAUUACAAAUUACAUCAGAAAAGAAAAAAAGUGAGAAAAUUUUACAGAAACCCUAAUAAUUACUGUACUAGUGAAGUAACAGUAUUUAUGUUGCAGGAGAGCUUUUGGCAAGAACAUGUCAAUCCACAGCAAAUUUGAUUUGGCUCUCAAAAUGGAACAAGUGUUUUGCUUUUUUUUUUUUUUUUUGGUGGGGGGGUGGGGGGGGCUUAUCUCAUGUUUUAGCUCUGCUGUCUUGAUGUGGGGCAGACAGGUGUCAGAAUUCCAGUAUUAUGACUGGUUAUUUAUUCCAUUUCAAACCUUGUUGAAAAUGCACAAUGCAAUAUAUUAAGUAUAGAUGCAUUUGAUAGCUUUGUACCCAGGUCAGAUAAUCAUGGUGAAUACAGACAAUUAUUUUGAGAUAAAACAUAUUCCAUACAUAAUGCCCUCAACAAUAAAAAAGCAUCUAAAACCACUUCUGGAACUUUACAUGAAUUAAAAUGCUGUGUUUCUCAAGCGCACUCUGAUAAAAUAUCGGAUAAGGCCCCAGUAAUAAAGAGCACCCAUCCCUUACAACCAGAUAUAUGUUGUAAGUUUCUAAAAAAUCAUUUAGUUUACAACUAGAAAAAUAAAACAUGACUUUCUUGCAGGUCAUUUCCAGAUGUCACCAACAAGAUUUAACCCAUCGUUCCCCAGAUACAGAUCACCUGACACAUCAUGACAUCACCCAUUGAAAUUUCCUUUACCGUUUUAAAGCAGCACACUUACAGGCAUUAAAUGAUUGACUAGUGUCCUCUGGCAGAGAAAUGUCUCCCUUUGCAGGUUGGUAACCAUUCCUAGAGUAUAAAAAAUGGUGAGUGAGGCUUUAGAAACUAAAAACAUUUUAAAUGUUAUUCUGAAAAUGAUCAGAAUAAAAAAAAAAAAUCUAUAUACUUUAACUUAAAUGCAAUUUUUACUGUAAUCGAUUGCACUAUUGAGCUAUUAACAAGCCAAAUUCAUGUAAAGAAAAUAAGGGGUUAAAAUAUUGAAAGACUAUAUAUGCGGGCUAUAUGAAGUGUUGAGGCUAUCACUGAUUCUAUCUGGAAAGAAACACAAGUAUUCCCCUUGGCAACAAAGUGGGAACUCUGCCUUACAUGAGACAAAUUAGAUCACCUACAUCAUUACAUAGUGUCUCAUGAGAGAGCAAGAGGUGUAUGCACUUUUAAAUUUGAAAAUCCUGUACGUACAAUUUCUUACAAUGAAGGUUCAAGGUUUUUCGGAUUUCCUGCUUAUUUUUAAAGGAACAUAAAAACCAUAACAGUGCACUCUAAUGGUCAUGUUGACCUGGCGCCUCCCAUUUUAAGUUGGCAAACCAUUUUAGAGCCUGGGCUAAGCCAGUCAGUGCAGGGCUUCACUCGUUGGCUAUGAGUGAUCAACUGACAUUGAUCAAGCUAGCCCAUUAUUGCACGGCUUAAGACUGAAGAGCUAACAAAACAUCUUACACAAGCCAACAAAUGUUGUGUGACUAAUAGAAUCAAAAGAUCACUCCAAGCACUAUUUUCAAAUGGACUACCUCCCAAAACAACUCUUGAGCUUAAAGGAAAACCAUAGUGUUUGUAUUUUUAACACUAUAGUGCAGGAGUAAAUAUUUAGGCGACACCCCUCCCCAUCCCAUGGACAUAAGUAUUUUACUUAACUUCUCUCCAAUGCUGCACCUGGUGCUUGAUGAUCUCAGCCAAAUCAAUGCUUUCCUAUAGCAAAGCAAAAUUGCACUCCUCAAAGAUUGUACUGAAUCAUUGCAUCUCCAUGCAGAGCGUGAAGACGCGGAAUGUUGGUGCUGUAUACAGUGCACCACUUAACUAGGAAGCACCUCUAGUGGCCAUCUGAGUUAUUGCCCCUAGAGAUGUUACUAGUCAGCAAUGUAAAUGUAGCUUUCUGAAAAGGCAGAGUUUGCAGUGCCAAAACUGCAGAGACAUGCUAUAGGCACCAGAGCAACUACAUUCAACUGUAGUGGUUCUGAUGUCUAUAGUGUCACUGUUAUUUUGAGAGUUCCUUUAACCCCUUUACUACCAAGUAGUUUGCAAUAUUAGCAUAUUAUAUGAAAUGUGAAAUCUAUAGCUAAUGCUGUUUAUAGACUGAGGUUCAAAAAAACAAAAACACACAAUUAAAACAAUGGAAACUUUUUUUAAAAUAUGUAAACAUUGCAGGUAAAUGAAAAGCUUUAGAUAAUAUACAUCCCUAAACUUGCAAUAUUUCAGAGUCGAACAAAAAUAGAGGAAAAAAAUAUUAAAUAAAUAAUCUGCUUAUUGGUAUUUGUAAAUCCUUGAUUGCAUUAGUAGCAGUUUACUAUAAAUGGCAACAGAAUGUAAAACACAUUUCUGCUUUCAAGUUUAAUGCACACAUACAGUAUGUAGUUCUAUACCAAUAGGGAUGUGAGAGGUUAGUCACUUCUUCCCCUCCCUGUAGGAAUAGCAUGAUCCAUUUACUGUUUGGAAGAAGGAGGGUUGUUAUUUAUAGCACAUUUGUAGACAUUGAAUGGCUGGAAUAGGUUCAAGGCAGAGAAGUGCCACUGCAACCUGGUAUUCCUGAUGUAGAAUUAUGGCAAGCAAGGCUUUAUGGGGUUGAGAAAAUGUACCGUAUUUUAUAUAUACAUACAUUUUGAAGGGGUUAUGUCAUCCAUAAUGGGUUAAACAAAAAGUACAUAUCAUAGAAUGCUAAACAUUGCUUGUUUAUAACUGCAUUCAUUUAAAGGCAGAGAAUUUAGAGUUCCCUGUAACACUCCAAAAUCGAGUCAUUUUCAGCCUAUUAUAAUAUAUUCAGCCCAUAUUCUAAGUACUGGUGGAGGGGCUGAAGAGUACCACAUUGACAAAGAGUGGGAUUGAAUAAUUGGGGGCAAAGGGUACCAUUAUAACUCCCAUUAAUCUAAGGCAGACUAUUACAGGUUUGUGCAAGUGCUUCCCUCAGACUGCAUAACAGUCACAGAUUGCAUUAGUUUUGAAUGGAUGACUUGAAAAUAAUGAGCAGAUCAUGCAAUCCAUGUCAAUAUAUACAUAUGCAUACUGGAUCUUCAGGCAAAAUGGCCACCAGGCAUAAGUAUGUAUUCACUUAACAGUGAACGGCGAUGAAUAGAAAAAUCAAAUGGCAAAUUUCAGACUAGAAUAGCCAAAAUGUAACUAGUUGAAAUGGAGCGAUGUGGCCUUUUUUCGUAAAUAAAUGGGUUACUCCAAGCAUCAUGAACACUUCAUUGAUUUGAAGUGGUCAUGGUACUUGAAGUCUGUAUUUGAAGUGUUUCAGAAAUAAAUUAUGCAUUUACAGCGAUAUUUUGCAGCUGGAUGUGUAACUUCACAUGUUGGCAGCAUCAUUAGCAGCCCAUAAGGAGAAAACUAGGCUGCAAAGAAUAAAUCUGUGCCCAAAGUAUUUUUUUAGCCCUGUCUCAAGACAUCCCAUUUAUUUUUAUUUAACAGAAACUAAGGAGGAGGGGGGCGUCUCAGCAAGGAGUAAUCCUUUAAGAUUUCAUCUCAAGUGCACAUGUAUCUAGGAACUACUAAAAAAUCAUGGGUGCUAACUUUCUGCCAGUAUCACAUGCUAUUCCAAAUG